This 253-nucleotide ribosomal RNA is filed under the name uncultured bacterium. RNAcentral's name for it is "partial 16S ribosomal RNA". It matches the Rfam family "Bacterial small subunit ribosomal RNA", at positions 524 to 776 of the family's 1533-position model. The record is from RNAcentral.
UACAGAGGGUGCAAGCGUUGUUCGGAAUUACUGGGCGUAAAGGGCGUGUAGGCGGUUUAACAAGUCAGAUGUGAAAUCCCAGGGCUUAACCCUGGAAGUGCAUUUGAAACUGUUAGGCUAGAGUGCUGUAGAGGAUGGCGGAAUACCCAGUGGAGAGGUGAAAUUCGUAGAUAUUGGGUGGAACACCGGUGGCGAAGGCGGCCAUCUGGGCAGCAACUGACGCUGAGGCGCGAGAGCGUGGGGAGCAAACAGG